RNAcentral lists this ribosomal RNA (460 nucleotides) under uncultured bacterium. RNAcentral describes it as "partial 16S ribosomal RNA". It matches the Rfam family "Bacterial small subunit ribosomal RNA", at positions 338 to 795 of the family's 1533-position model. The record is from RNAcentral.
CCUACGGGAGGCUGCAGUGAGGAAUAUUGGUCAAUGGACGAGAGUCUGAACCAGCCAAGUCGCGUGAAGGAUGACUGCCCUAUGGGUUGUAAACUUCUUUUAUAUGGGAAUAAAACGUUCCACGUGUGGGAUUUUGUAUGUACCAUAUGAAUAAGGAUCGGCUAACUCCGUGCCAGCAGCCGCGGUAAUACGGAGGAUCCGAGCGUUAUCCGGAUUUAUUGGGUUUAAAGGGAGCGUAGGUGGAUUGUUAAGUCAGUUGUGAAAGUUUGCGGCUCAACCGUAAAAUUGCAGUUGAAACUGGCAGUCUUGAGUACAGUAGAUGUGGGCGGAAUUCGUGGUGUAGCGGUGAAAUGCUUAGAUAUCACGAAGAACUCCGAUUGCGAAGGCAGUUCACUGGACUGCAACUGACACUGAGGCUCGAAAGUGUGGGUAUCAAACAGGAUUAGAUACCCGAGUAGUC